GCCAAUCCUUUCCGCUGCCGAGCUGUACGUGUAUAUAUUGCUUCCUCCUCUGGUACACUUCGCUCACUCUCUCUAUUGCGGCAGCACACCAUCUUACAACAAAAAGCUUGGGGUGAUGUUCAUGCUAGCGGUGCUCGAUUGAUUUCAUUUUGGAGAUUGGUAUUGGAAUUUUUUUUUGGUGUUGGUAAUCUCAAAUGGCUUCUGGACAAGUAACAUCGAUGUAUUUACGCUGCAUGAUUGCUUACAUGAAAUCUUCCUGUGUUAUGUUGA
This is a long non-coding RNA of Triticum dicoccoides, 270 nucleotides long. RefSeq lists it as uncharacterized. The record is from RefSeq and is a predicted model, not a curated record. The transcript has 2 exons. NCBI's taxonomy places the organism in Eukaryota, Viridiplantae, Streptophyta, Magnoliopsida, Poales, Poaceae.